AUGGGUCUGCCUUCUGGGUAUCAGUUAUUAGAGUGGAUUAGCGUGUCAAAUCCCCAGGAGAGGAGGUUAUGAUUUCAUCAAAGAAAAACUCAGCAGAAUCCUGGAGCUGCCUGGGAAGUCAACCACACAGGCAAAGCAGACCCCAGUAACCAGGAGUGCGCCCAGGACAGCAGCAGGAGCUCCCGGCAGGUCGUCUUGCUUCAUCAAAACAGUACACAGACCAAGGAGAAGUCCUAGAGUCGGCACGGGAAGCAAGGAUGGACACUUUCGAGUUAGGAGGGGCUCAUCAGACUGCAACCCUGUCGUCGGCUGAGAUGCAUCUGAACCCAGCCGUGCCAUCGUGGUGUGAGAGGCCAGCAGCCAGGGACCAUGCAACCUCCAGAUCUGUGAGACGUGUGUCUGUUGUGAGCCACCUCAUCCCUGAUAUUUUGUCACGGCAGCCGGAGCCAAGACAGGCAAGCGUGGCUCUGGGCCAACAAAACGUCACCGCGGACACUGAGGUUCGAAGUCCGCAUCCCUUUUACGAAUCAUGAAAUAGUACCUUCCUUUGGUUUUUUCCUGCCGUUUUAAAAUGUGAAACCUCUCCUAGCUGGGGCUGUGCAGAAACAGGCGAUGGGCUGGAUUUGGCCGUUGGGCUGCAACAGUUUGCCGGCCCCCGCCCAGGGCACGGACAGAGGCCUCCUCCCUCCACUCACCACUGACCUGACAACGGGUCGGGAUCCUGGUGCCUCGGUCAUUUUAGGAAGGAUGUGGACAAGUGAAAACACCCUUGAGAGAGCAUGGCCUCCGUGUCAGUGUUCCACAGAGAGGCCACUGAAGGCUGGCUGAGCCCGUGGGGCUCUGGACUCUCACUGGAGCGUUGGAUCCCUGCUUCCCGGUCACUGGCUAACAACUCACUGACCCCUUCUCAGCUCCCAUGUGCCACGGGCACAGUCACCAAGCCAGCCUGCAGGGUUUCAUAAGGCUUGGGGGUGACGGCCACGCAUCCAAGGCAUCGGCCAAAGAGAACUGUGUGGGCUUAAGGCAGAAGCCUGGGGCCAAAGGAUGAAAAGAAGACCCUGGAGGACAGUGUCCAGCUGAAGAGCGAGGCCAAGAGUCCUCAGACACUUGAAGGCCUGUCACACCACCGAGGGACUUGAUUUGUUAUUGUCCCUACCAAGCAAAAGUGGGGAAGCCCAUCUCAGAUCACACAGGGACCUUAUUGUCAUCCCAGUUGUCCCCGCUGGGACAUCUGCUUAGAGUUCCCGAGGCCGGAGGCAUCGAGACCCACCAGCACGGGAACUUGCCAAGGAGUGUGCAUCCUCUCGAGCCCCUUGGGAAAUGUGCCUGCCCAUUUGUGAGUCCCAUCAAAGUGGACUUGUUCAGUCCUGUUCCUUGAGGGAAAUACCUAGAUGCCGGGAGAACUGCUGUGCAGUCCCCGCUUAGCAGGAGAUUUCUGAUGGUCCCAAGACCAGCCUUGUUCUGGGGUAGGCUUGAGAGGACAGGAUACGGCAGCACCCAAGGUUGAUCCAAGAGGCAUGUGUCACCUCGGCCUGUAUGUGGCCCCAAUCCAGCAGAGAUGUCCGCCACCUACUGGAAAUGGAAGCAGAACUUGGUGCCUAGCCUUGUCUGUAACAGGCACACGCCAGGACAGACAGUCUCCUACAUCAGGAGCAUAGAACUUUCCGGAAGCCCCAUCUUCCCUGUGUCUCAGGCCACCCCAGCUAGGAGAUAAUUUGGGAAGUGGGGUCAUAGGUGACAGCUGGGCCUGCCAGCAAACGUAUCUGCCAAGUUGGCUUCCUAGCUUAAAUAGGUCUCCACGAGGGCAGGGGUACUUCCUCUUAUUGUCCAAUUUUCUUCUUUUUACUGUGGGAGAAGACACAUUGUGAGUCUUACUGUUUUAACUGUUUUAAGGACAGCUGAAUGGUAUAAAGUACAUUCAUGGUGUAUCUCAUCGUGGUUGGAUCUGCAGUUCCCUCGUGACCAGUGACGUGACCGUGCGCUUACUGAUUAGCAAGUUGGCUUUGGGGGAAAUGUGUUCUAGUCCUUCGCCCAUUUUCCAACCAAGUUGCAUGGUCUUCUCCUGCGAGCCUCAGGACUUCUCUGUGUAGUCUGGGUAUCAAUCUCUUACCAGGCAGAGGAUGUCUAAGUAUCUUCUCCUGUUUUACUGUUUUGUUUGUGUGUUUGUUGCUUUGUUUUCCAGUAUCAGGGCUUGAAUCCAGGGGCAAUUAACCACUGAGCCACAUCCCCAGCCCUUUUU
This 2239-nucleotide long non-coding RNA is filed under the name Ictidomys tridecemlineatus (thirteen-lined ground squirrel). RNAcentral's name for it is "lncRNA (ENSSTOG00000033486.1)". Lineage: Eukaryota; Metazoa; Chordata; Mammalia; Rodentia; Sciuridae. The record is from RNAcentral.